GACAUCGAGAUCGCGGUUUCCAGAGAUGGAUUCCUUCAGUUCGGCUGGAUCUUAGACAGGUGUUGCAUGGCUGUCGUCAGCUCGUGUCGUGAGAUGUUGGGUUAAGUCCCGCAACCGAGCGCAACCCUCGCCUUUAGUUGCCAUCAUUAAGUUGGGCACUCUAGAGGGACUGCCGGUGAUAAGCCGGAGGAAGGUGGGGAUGACGUCAAGUCCUCAUGGCCCUUAUGGGUUGGGCUACACACGUGCUACAAUGGCGGCGACAAUGGGCAGCGAAGGGGCGACCCGGUGCAAAUCCCAAAAAGCCGUCUCAGUUCGGAUUGCACUCUGCAACUCGAGUGCAUGAAGGUGGAAUCGCUAGUAAUCGCGUAACAGCAUGACGCGGUGAAUACGUUCCCGGGCCUU
RNAcentral lists this ribosomal RNA (402 nucleotides) under uncultured Parvibaculum sp. Its description in RNAcentral is "bacterial SSU rRNA". It matches the Rfam family "Bacterial small subunit ribosomal RNA", at positions 983 to 1382 of the family's 1533-position model. The record is from RNAcentral. Lineage: Bacteria; Pseudomonadati; Pseudomonadota; Alphaproteobacteria; Hyphomicrobiales; Parvibaculaceae.